UUCCUUAUUAUCACUGUGCAUUAUGAUGUGAAAUAGCAAUAUCGAAACAAUUGUGUUAUGUGUAGUAUACACACGAACACUGGACACAACACUAUACAAAUAUGCAGACACAAAUUAUAAAAUUGAACACGACAUUGAUACCAUUAAUAAUUUGAGAGAAAAUGAAAUAAUUGAAUCAUCUUUCGGACACCAUACAAUGUCUGUGCUACUGAGGAAUCUGAGGUGCUCAACUGAGGCCCAACUUCCCUGAGUUUGUCCACACACUCGGCAAAGUGAGCACCACUCCAUCGGGUGUUUUAAGGACAUCCUCCUCCACUUGCACAGACUUACCUAUCUCAACCCUUACUUCUUCGUCACAGACUGGUCAUCAAUAUCCAUCACCAUAUGUUGAGACUACCCAAACCGGUCGAGUUGUGGGCCAACGGCUGUAGCAGCAGGAGAGCCGACCUGAGAAGAUGAGCCUGUAGCCCUAGCCAAGAGCGCGUUGAGACCGCGAGGGUCCUUCCUCUUUGACCCAGUCGACCAAACUCCAGGCUUCAUACUUAGUUUCUUCAGCUUUUCUUGUAGUCCAGCCAUGUUAACUUCAAACGAGAAAACAACGAAAUCAGUAAAUAAAUCGUCAAAUCAAAUAUAAGCACAAGUAAAUCUUAAAGAUUACCUAACAAACCCCUCGGGUCUGAAGACUUAACAAGGUCCUUGGUGUUGAUAAAACGAUCCUCGUUAAAUGGGUUUCCCUCAAGUCGUAUAGAACGUUUCCAUGCUCAUCCACACAGGUAUAAGGCGUUUCCUCUGCCUAAACAAGCCUUCGCUUGCUGCUUUACUAUGGAUGCUAUCAAAAUACUUGCCUCUGGCUUUGAUUGUCCAUGUUUGCAUGUUCCAAUACUCUUACGGC
This 892-nucleotide long non-coding RNA is filed under the name Medicago truncatula (barrel medic). Its description in RNAcentral is "long non-coding RNA (MTRU_LNC005492)". Lineage: Eukaryota; Viridiplantae; Streptophyta; Magnoliopsida; Fabales; Fabaceae. The record is from RNAcentral.